CUUACCUUCGACUUGUUCUUCUUCUCACCGUUGGGCCACACCUCGCGUCACUAGUGUGUCUUUGCAGCUAGAAGAGUGGAGUCGCUGGAAUCUCUUCGUUCUUUGCUAUCAUCUCUCGCUUCUCUGUUCAAGUUAGGCAUCCGUAUGUGUAUAUCAGAACUCUUCCUUCUUCAAUUUUUUUCUUCAUCAGCGUCGACGACCUGCUGGUUAUGAGCUAUUCCUGCUGCACUUUAGGAUGAGACUUUGUAGGUGACCCUGUACCUCCUACUAGUCAUUGAGGGGCACUAUUGCUUUUGGUUAGUGGAAGCACCUAUUGAUAUUUAGUUUGAUUUAAAUGUGCAUUAUAUUAUACAAUUGUAGUUUAAUGCUCC
This is a long non-coding RNA of Prosopis cineraria, 371 nucleotides long. RefSeq lists it as uncharacterized. The record is from RefSeq and is a predicted model, not a curated record. Lineage: Eukaryota; Viridiplantae; Streptophyta; Magnoliopsida; Fabales; Fabaceae. The transcript is spliced from 3 exons.